CGUAGGCUAGAUACUCAGCCUAUAUAGAGUAGAGUUUGGGGCAAUCGGGACACAACGCCAUGUAGUUUUAGCAGGGGCGUGUGUCGUAUGCUAGGCGUUUUCUGGUGAACGACACAUACAGACAUUGGGAGCAAGUCGCCGAGGUUGGCUCGCGAUCUUGGCUCCAAGAUGUGUGAGUUGUUUGCCAGAGACAACAUGUAGGAACUUUAAUUCUUAAGGACCAGGAGUGACAGUCUUGGCGACUGUCUGAGUCUUAGUGACAUUCUGACGGUCAGAGACGGUAGAUCUAUAUAUGGUGUAUCCUUGCCUGCUACUCAAGGGGAUAUCACUCUAGUAUUGAGCGGACUGUGACGUUGGGUUCCAGGAUCCGUGCAGAGACUAGAGAGAGAGAGAGAGAGAGAGAGAGAGACAAGAGAAAUGGAAAGUUCAUCGUGACCUACAGCCAAGCAUCAAUGUCUAUGUGAUUAUUAAAUUUUAAUUCUAGAAUCACAUGUUAUAUGUAACUAUAGUUGUUAAUUAAAUAUUUAUUUUUCAUAUGCAAA
Biomphalaria glabrata is the source of this 542-nucleotide long non-coding RNA. RefSeq lists it as uncharacterized. NCBI's taxonomy places the organism in Eukaryota, Metazoa, Mollusca, Gastropoda, Planorbidae. The record is from RefSeq and is a predicted model, not a curated record. The transcript is spliced from 2 exons.